GGUGCCUGGGGAUUGUAGCCCCUGGGUGAAAAGGGAACCGGGUGGGAAUCCCGGACAGACGGUGCUGCUGUGUGCCCCCUGAUAAUAAGACCCUGCACUUGACCACUGUGCAAUAACCUGAUAGCAAAGGUUUGCAUGGGAAGGGAGAGGUGCAAGAGAGGGUAGGGGCGAGUCAGAAGACCUGCCAAGUCGCA
RNAcentral lists this non-coding RNA (194 nucleotides) under bovine gut metagenome. The record is from RNAcentral.